AUUGAACGCUGGCGGAAUGCUUUACACAUGCAAGUCGAACGGUAGAGGGGGCAACCCCUUGAGAGUGGCGAACGGGUGAGUAAUAUAUCGGAACGUGCCCAGUCGUGGGGGAUAACGUAGCGAAAGUUACGCUAAUACCGCAUACGAUCUAAGGAUGAAAGCGGGGGAUCGCAAGACCUCGCGCGACUGGAGCGGCCGAUAUCAGAUUAGGUAGUUGGUAGGGUAAAGGCCUACCAAGCCAACGAUCUGUAGCUGGUCCGAGAGGACGACCAGCCACACUGGAACUGAGACACGGUCCAGACUCCUACGGGAGGCAGCAGUGGGGAAUUUUGGACAAUGGGCGAAAGCCUGAUCCAGCCAUUCCGCGUGCAGGAUGAAGGCCCUCGGGUUGUAAACUGCUUUUGUACAGAACGAAAAGGUUUCUAUUAAUACUAGGAGCUCAUGACGGUACUGUAAGAAUAAGCACCGGCUAACUACGUG
Molecule: ribosomal RNA, 480 nt
Filed under: uncultured bacterium
Lineage: Bacteria
Description: partial 16S ribosomal RNA
Rfam family: Bacterial small subunit ribosomal RNA
Source: RNAcentral